CAUUACAACAGCCAUCGUUUAUUAGAAUAUCGUUAUCCUACUUGGAUAACUGUGGCAAUUCUAGAGCUAAUACAUGCAAUAAAGCUCCGCCCGCAAGGAACGAGCGCAUUUAUUAGAAUAAAAACCAAUCGAGUUUCGGCUCGUAAUUUGGUGAAUCUGAAUAACUUUGCCAAUCGCACAGUCCUAGUACUGGCGAUGUAUCUUUCAAGUGUCUGCCUUAUCAACUUUCGAUGGUACGCUAUACGCCUACCAUGGUAGUAACGGGUAACGGAGAAUAAGGGUUCGACUCCGGAGAGGGAGCCUGAGAAAUGGCUACCACAUCCAAGGAAGGCAGCAGGCGCGCAAAUUACCCAAUCCCAGAACGGGGAGGUAGUGACGAAAAAUAACGAGGUAAUCCACUUUGUGGCUUGCCAUCGGAAUGGGCACAAUAUAAAUCUUUUAACGAGGAUCUAUUAGAGGGCAAGUCUGGUGCCAGCAGCCGCGGUAAUUCCAGCUCUAAUAGUGUAUAUUAAAAUUGUUGUGGUUAAAACGCCCGUAGUUGGAUCUUCGGUCUUGAAGCUCGGUAGCCCGUAAGGGUUUAACUGAGUCUUCUGGCCUCGAUUCUAGUUUUCUCCUGAUGCUCUUUAUUGAGUGUCUUGAGUAGCUAGGAAUUUUACUUUGAAAAAAUUAGAGUGCUAAAAGCAGGCUAUACGCUUGAAUAAAGUGCAUGGAAUAAUGGAAUACGACUUUAGU
Molecule: ribosomal RNA, 732 nt
Filed under: Nematoda environmental sample
Lineage: Eukaryota; Metazoa; Nematoda
Description: partial 18S ribosomal RNA
Rfam family: Eukaryotic small subunit ribosomal RNA
Source: RNAcentral